Cucurbita maxima (winter squash) is the source of this 396-nucleotide long non-coding RNA. RefSeq lists it as uncharacterized. The record is from RefSeq and is a predicted model, not a curated record. NCBI's taxonomy places the organism in Eukaryota, Viridiplantae, Streptophyta, Magnoliopsida, Cucurbitales, Cucurbitaceae. The transcript is spliced from 3 exons.
UUGCAAAAACAUUGAACAAGAGCGUGGUGAAGGGAAUUGGACCGAGGAGCUCAAGGAAGCCAAUAACCGGAUUUGAGUUAGACUCACCGAGAGGAGCUCAGCAACGUCGGUGAAAGAGCCAGAGGCCGAGGGCGCUUGAACGAGUAGAUCGCGUUUGGUUUGAAGUAGGAGAUGUAUGAGUUGGUAGAAGAGUGCAGAAGCUAUCGGGGCGUGUAGUUCAAGAACCGGCGAAGGAAAGACGGAGUAAGCAGCCGCGCGGGAUGGGUCCGUCUCGAGGAGGAAGACACGGAUCAAGUGCGCCGGUCCAAAUUUUCUAGAGAUUCGAACCACCAACUAAAUAACCCUUCAAACUUUUCGGUAAUCAAUACUCGUGAGAAUUGACUGAGACUCGGGCAU